This 460-nucleotide ribosomal RNA is filed under the name uncultured bacterium. Its description in RNAcentral is "partial 16S ribosomal RNA". It matches the Rfam family "Bacterial small subunit ribosomal RNA", at positions 338 to 795 of the family's 1533-position model. The record is from RNAcentral.
CCUACGGGAGGCUGCAGUGAGGAAUAUUGGUCAAUGGACGAGAGUCUGAACCAGCCAAGUAGCGUGAAGGAUGACUGCCCUAUGGGUUGUAAACUUCUUUUAUAUGGGAAUAAAAUGCUCCACGUGUGGUGUUUUGUAUGUACCAUAUGAAUAAGGACCGGCUAAUUCCGUGCCAGCAGCCGCGGUAAUACGGAGGAUCCGAGGGUUAUCCGGAUUUAUUGGGUUUAAAGGGAGCGUAGGUGGAUUGUUAAGUCAGUCGUGAAAGGUGGCGGCUCAACCGUGGAAGUGCAGUUGAAACUGGCAGUCUUGAGUGCAGUAGAGGUGUGCGGAAUUCGGGGUGUAGCGGGGAAAUGCUUAGAUAUCACGAAGAACUCCGAUUGCGAAGGCAGCUCACUGGACUGCAACUGACACUGAGGCUCGAAAGUGUGGGUAUCAAACAGGAUUAGAUACCCCAGUAGUC